RNAcentral lists this long non-coding RNA (237 nucleotides) under Elaeis guineensis (African oil palm). RNAcentral's name for it is "long non-coding RNA (EGUI_LNC007206)". The record is from RNAcentral. Lineage: Eukaryota; Viridiplantae; Streptophyta; Magnoliopsida; Arecales; Arecaceae.
ACUUACAAAAUUAUAAGUAUUUCUAUUCAUAGAUCAGAAACAAGAAAAAUAUGACAUUUGGGUUUGAAUAGGAAGGUUGGGGGAUGUUGUCAUGGGAGAGAGGAGAAAGAGAGUAGAGGAGGAUGGUGCAUUUGAGGAAAAAUGGAAAGAGAGCAUGGCGUCGGUGCAAGGAGAGAAGCAAAGAAGGAGAGGAGGGAUUUAUGCACAAUCACCAUCAGAAGAUAAUUAGAAAGAGGC